Molecule: ribosomal RNA, 468 nt
Filed under: uncultured bacterium
Lineage: Bacteria
Description: partial 16S ribosomal RNA
Rfam family: Bacterial small subunit ribosomal RNA
Source: RNAcentral
GACGAACGCUGGCGGCGUGCUUAACACAUGCAAGUCGAACGGAAAGGCCCUGCUUUUGUGGGGUGCUCGAGUGGCGAACGGGUGAGUAACACGUGAGUAACCUGCCCUUGACUUUGGGAUAACUUCAGGAAACUGGGGCUAAUACCGGAUAGGAUCUCCUGCUGCAUGGUGGGGGUUGGAAAGUUUCGGCGGUUGGGGAUGGACUCGCGGCUUAUCAGCUUGUUGGUGGGGUAGUGGCUUACCAAGGCUUUGACGGGUAGCCGGCCUGAGAGGGUGACCGGACAAAUUGGGACUGAGAUACGGCCCAGACUCCAACGGGAGGCAGGAGUGGGGAGUAUUGCACAGUGGGCGGAAGCAUGAUGCAGCAACGCCGCGUGCGGGAUGACGGCCUGCGGGUAGUAAACCGAAUUCGCCUGUGACGAAGCGUGAGUGACGGUAAUGGGUAAAGAAGCACCGGCUAACUACGUG